GGUUCUCUAUCUGGAGGUUAUUCCUCUUGUAGUCCUUCCACAAGCCCAGGACAUGGAUCACUAUGGGAGGAUUGUCUUUGAAUGGUAGAACAUUGCACAAGAGAUUUCUCAUAUCGCUACAGAAGAAGAAAAAACAAAUGGCUGUAUUCUAAAAGUGGCCAGACAUAGAAACAAUAGGUAGGUGACCAUAUGUCUUCUGCGGACACUUUCAAAAUUUGCCUGGACCAAGGGCCAAGAAUCCCUUCCCCUUUCCCUUUCCAGCAUUUUCAUAUAAUCUCCCUCAAUCUAAUCCCUAUCCUGCCCAUCCCACUAAAACUAUCUUCGCAAUAAUCUCUGGUUUGACAGUGGUCUUGUUAAUGGGUACGUUCUUGUAAUUCUCCUGUCAGUUUGCUUUCUUUCCUAUGUUUACAUUCCUCAUCCCCUUCCACACCACACCACAGCAGCCUCUCCUUCUGGACCCUAUCUUCAUCACCCUGGCUCCGCUGGAUGACUGUGGCGUUGCACCUGUUGACCACAGCUAGGACUGGGGGCACCUACUGCACCCAGUUUGUCCAUCCUGACAAACAGCUUGGAUCAUUCUGCUGCUUAACAGUGAAACUACUGAGACUUAAAAAAGAAGAUUUGGUAUGUUCAGUGUCAAGUGUAAGAAGGCAUCAAUAUCAGAUAGGGAGUAGGAAUGUUUUUAGAAGGUGAGCAAAGUAGUCUUGUAUUUUCAGGCAAAUUUAUAAAAUUGCGCAUUCUGGUAUUUGCAUACUUCAUAUUCAGAGAAAAUACAUCUGAUGUUAUAUUGGCUCAAACUAAAUCAUGCUAUGCAGGCAGUGAUAUACGCACUUCAUGCAUAUUUGCUCGAAAUUAAGCUCCAGUGUAAACUCUGUAUUAAAAUUGUGUCUGUCAUAUGAAGUGACAUUGAAUAUGUAGUUUUCAUAAGAAGAUGAAUUAUUUUUACCAGUUCUUAUGAAUUUUCAAGUGGUAUCAUCUGAUGUGCCAUCUACAUCUGGUAUCUGAGAAAUCUUUGAAAGAAUUUAAACAGAAAGAUGCACCUUAAAUCUGAUUUACUUCCAAUUUACUGAAAAAGAUACUGACCACUAGGAUUCUGUGACUUCAUUUUUACUGACAUAAGAUGUUUAUGCAAGUGAAGUUUAUGGCAUGAAGUUCUAUAUUAAGAAGCACAGUUUCUAGAUUAGUCUACAUAGAUAAAAGUAAUUUUAAAAACUGAAACUGCCAGUGUUCCUUUGGAAAAAACUUCCAGUUUUGCUGUGGGUUCACUGACAAUUACAUAGACAGUAUCUUGACCACAGAUGCUUGGUGUUUAUGUUUCCUGAACAAGAUCCAAUUAAAAGCUUACCAUCUGUCAUAAAUCUUUGUCUCCAUGCAGCUUCCAAUGCAAGUGACGUACAUUAGCAUUCAAACCUCAGCCUGUCUUUCAUUCACCAUUGUCAAGAAAUCAAGACAUUCUUUUACUAGGAAUUUUUCAAAAAGUCUAUAGUUAGUUUGUUUUAUGGAGAUUUAUCUAGCUAUAUCUGAGGCUCAAAGGUUCUUAAAGAAGCUUGGAAUGGAACUUGGUAUAUUCAAACCGCAUUGAUAAUCCCACUGCAGAUUUGGCAGAUCUGAGGGUCAAUUGGAUUUUCCUAGUAAAAUACUGACUGGAUUUCUGUCAAUUUCAGAAAAUUAUUGUAAAUGAAAAUUAUUUGGAUCUGGAAGAGUGCAAGAUAUUUUAUAAGUAUUUUUUAUAGACGGGGACUUCUUGGUGCUGCAGACAAAAAUUAGCAUUUAUUUUAUGUAAAAUAAAUACUAAAAGUUAGAACUAUAUAUAUGCACACAUAUGCUUUUUCUAAAAAACGGGGUGGGGGGUGCGGGGGAGGGUUGUUUGCUUGCUUAUUUGUU
This is a long non-coding RNA of Gallus gallus (chicken), 1884 nucleotides long. RefSeq lists it as uncharacterized. The record is from RefSeq and is a predicted model, not a curated record. NCBI's taxonomy places the organism in Eukaryota, Metazoa, Chordata, Aves, Galliformes, Phasianidae. The transcript is spliced from 3 exons.